CAAUAGCGUAUAUUAAAGUUGUUGCAGUUAAAAAGCUCGUAGUUGGACUUCUGCGGGUGGCGGCCGGUCGUGCUCGAAACGGGCGUGAACUUGGCGUGCUGCCCGCAUCUUUGGGGAGAUUGUGCGUGGCAUUAAGUUGUCGUGCAUGGGAUUCUCAUCAUUUACUGUGAAAAAUUAGAGUGUUUAAAGCAGGCCUUUGCCUUGAAUACAUUAGCAUGGAAUAAUAAGAUAGGACCGUUGUCUAUUUUGUUGGUUUACAGAUGUCGGUAAUGAUUAAUAGGGAUAGUUGGGGGUAUUCGUAUUCAGUUGUCAGAGGUGAAAUUCUUGGAUUUUCGGAAGACGCACGACUGCGAAAGCAUUUACCAAGGAUGUUUUCAUUAA
RNAcentral lists this ribosomal RNA (381 nucleotides) under uncultured eukaryote. RNAcentral describes it as "partial 18S ribosomal RNA". It matches the Rfam family "Eukaryotic small subunit ribosomal RNA", at positions 592 to 976 of the family's 1831-position model. The record is from RNAcentral.